This 466-nucleotide ribosomal RNA is filed under the name uncultured bacterium. RNAcentral's name for it is "bacterial SSU rRNA". It matches the Rfam family "Bacterial small subunit ribosomal RNA", at positions 330 to 794 of the family's 1533-position model. The record is from RNAcentral.
UCCAGACUCCUACGGGAGGCAGCAGUGAGGAAUAUUGGCCAAUGGGCGAGAGCCUGAACCAGCCAAGUCGCGUGAGGGAAGACGGUCCUAUGGAUUGUAAACCUCUUUUGCCGGGGAGCAAAAAGCGGUACGUGUACCGCAUCGAGAGUACCCGGAGAAAAAGCAUCGGCUAACUCCGUGCCAGCAGCCGCGGUAAUACGGAGGAUGCGAGCGUUAUCCGGAUUUAUUGGGUUUAAAGGGUGCGUAGGCGGGAUGCCAAGUCAGCGGUAAAAAUGCGGUGCUCAACGCCGUCGAGCCGUUGAAACUGGCGUUCUUGAGUGGGCGAGAAGUAUGCGGAAUGCGCGGUGUAGCGGUGAAAUGCAUAGAUAUCGCGCAGAACUCCGAUUGCGAAGGCAGCGUACCGGCGCCAGACUGACGCUGAGGCACGAAAGCGUGGGGAUCGAACAGGAUUAGAUACCCCCGUACA